AGGACGAACGCUGGCGGCGUGCUUAACACAUGCAAGUCGAGCGGUAAGGCUCCUUCGGGAGUACACGAGUGGCAAACGGGUGAGUAACACGUGGGUGACCUGCCUUCGAGUGGGGGAUAACGUCCCGAAAGGGACGCUAAUACCGCAUGAUAUCCUGCCUUUGGAAAGGUGGAGAUCAAAGCUGGGGAUCGUAAGACCUGGCGCUUGAAGAGGGGCCCGCGCCUGAUUAGCUAGUUGGUGAGGUAACGGCUCACCAAGGCUACGAUCAGUA
RNAcentral lists this ribosomal RNA (271 nucleotides) under uncultured bacterium. RNAcentral describes it as "partial small subunit ribosomal RNA". It matches the Rfam family "Bacterial small subunit ribosomal RNA", at positions 26 to 285 of the family's 1533-position model. The record is from RNAcentral.